UUCAAGUUAGUUUACAAAAAACAUUACAUUUUCAAUGUAAAAAUAUUUAUUCUAUAAUAUUUGAAU
This 66-nucleotide transfer RNA is filed under the name Homidia socia. RNAcentral's name for it is "tRNA-Glu". The record is from RNAcentral. Lineage: Eukaryota; Metazoa; Arthropoda; Collembola; Entomobryomorpha; Entomobryidae.